This 433-nucleotide ribosomal RNA is filed under the name uncultured bacterium. RNAcentral's name for it is "partial 16S ribosomal RNA". It matches the Rfam family "Bacterial small subunit ribosomal RNA", at positions 29 to 507 of the family's 1533-position model. The record is from RNAcentral.
AGCGAACGCUGGCGGCAGGCUUAACACAUGCAAGUCGAGCGGGCACUUCGGUGUCAGCGGCAGACGGGUGAGUAACACGUGGGAACGUACCCUUCGGUUCGGAAUAACGCUGGGAAACUAGCGCUAAUACCGGAUACGCCCUUUUGGGGAAAGGUUUACUGCCGAAGGAUCGGCCCGCGUCUGAUUAGCUAGUUGGUGGGGUAAUGGCCUACCAAGGCGACGAUCAGUAGCUGGUCUGAGAGGAUGAUCAGCCACACUGGGACUGAGACACGGCCCAGACACAUACGGGAGGAAGAAGUGGGGAAUAUUGGAAAAUGGGCGAAAGACUGAAACAGCCAGGCCGCGUGAGGGAUGAAGGCCUUAGGGUUGUAAAGCGCUUUUGUCCGGGACGAUAAUGACGGUACCGGAAGAAUAAGCCCCGGCUAACUUCGUG